AGCCUGAUGCAGCGACGCCGCGUGAGGGAUGAAGGCCUUCGGGUUGUAAACCUCUUUCAGUAGGGAAGAAGCCGGUCUUUUGGGUUGGUGACGGUACCUGCAGAAGAAGCGCCGGCUAACUACGUGCCAGCAGCCGCGGUAAUACGUAGGGCGCAAGCGUUAUCCGGAAUUAUUGGGCGUAAAGAGCUCGUAGGCGGUUUGUCGCGUCUGCCGUGAAAGUCCGGGGCUUAACUCCGGAUCUGCGGUGGGUACGGGCAGACUAGAGUGCAGUAGGGGAGACUGGAAUUCCUGGUGUAGCGGUGAAAUGCGCAGAUAUCAGGAGGAACACCGAUGGCGAAGGCAGGUCUCUGGGCUGUAACUGACGCUGAGGAGCGAAAGCAUGGGGAGCGAACAGGAUUAGAUACCCUGGUAGUCCAUGCCGUAAACGUUGGGCACUAGGUGUGGGGGACAUUCCACGUUUUCCGCGCCGUAGCUAACGCAUUAAGUGCCCCGCCUGGGGAGUACGGCCGCAAGGCUAAAACUCAAAGGAAUUGACGGGGGCCCGCACAAGCGGCGGAGCAUGCGGAUUAAUUCGAUGCAACGCGAAGAACCUUACCAAGGCUUGACAUGAACCGGAAUGAUGCAGAGAUGUGUCAGCCACUUGUGGCCGGUUUACAGGUGGUGCAUGGUUGUCGUCAGCUCGUGUCGUGAGAUGUUGGGU
RNAcentral lists this ribosomal RNA (700 nucleotides) under Arthrobacter sp. 11D. Its description in RNAcentral is "bacterial SSU rRNA". It matches the Rfam family "Bacterial small subunit ribosomal RNA", at positions 380 to 1080 of the family's 1533-position model. Lineage: Bacteria; Bacillati; Actinomycetota; Actinomycetes; Micrococcales; Micrococcaceae. The record is from RNAcentral.